CCUACGGGUGGCAGCAGUGGGGAAUAUUGCACAAUGGGGGAAACCCUGAUGCAGCGAAGCCGCGUGAGUGAAGAAGUAUUUCGGUAUGUAAAGCUCUAUCAGCAGGGAAGAAAAUGAUGGUACCUGAUUCAGAAGCCCCGGCUAACUACGUGCCCGCCGCCGCGGUUAUACGUCGGGGGCAAGCGUUAUCCGGAUGUACUGGGUGUAAAGGGAGCGUAGACGGCAGCAUAAGUCUGGAGUGAAAGGCCGGGGCUUAACCCCGGAACUGCUUUGGAAACUGUGCAGCUAGAGUGCAGGAGAGGUAAGUGGAAUGCCUGGUGUAGCGGUGAAAUGCAUAGAUAUUAGGAGGAACACCAGUGGCGAAGGCGGCUUACUGGACUGUAACUGACGUUGAGGCACGAAAGCGUGGGGAGCAAACAGGAUUAGAUACCCUAGUAGUC
Molecule: ribosomal RNA, 440 nt
Filed under: uncultured bacterium
Lineage: Bacteria
Description: partial 16S ribosomal RNA
Rfam family: Bacterial small subunit ribosomal RNA
Source: RNAcentral